Molecule: non-coding RNA, 22 nt
Filed under: Mus musculus (house mouse)
Lineage: Eukaryota; Metazoa; Chordata; Mammalia; Rodentia; Muridae
Source: RNAcentral
UCUGGACCUGAGGAAGUAGUUG